AUUGAACGCUAGCGGCAUGCUUUACACAUGCAAGUCGAACGGCAGCGGGGAGUAGCUUGCUACUCUGCCGGCGAGUGGCGAACGGGUGAGUAACGCAUCGGGACGUGCCCAGUAGUGGGGGAUAACUUAGCGAAAGCUAGGCUAAUACCGCAUACGCACUGAGGUGGAAAGCGGGGGAUCGCAAGACCUCGCGCUAUUGGAGCGACCGAUGUCCGAUUAGCUAGUUGGUGGGGUAAAGGCCUACCAAGGCGACGAUCGGUAGCUGGCCUGAGAGGACGACCAGCCACACUGGAGCUUAGACACGGCCCAGACUGCGACGGAAGGCAGCAGUGGGGAAUUUUGGACAAUGGGCGAAAGCCUGAUCCAGCCAUGCCGCGUGAGUGAAGAAGGCCUUCGGGUUGUAAAGCUCUUUUGGCGGGGAAGAAAUGGCUCUGGUUAAUACCUGGGGUCGAUGACGGUACCGGAAGAAUAAGGACCGGCUAACUACGUGCCAGCAGCCGCCGUAA
RNAcentral lists this ribosomal RNA (506 nucleotides) under uncultured bacterium. Its description in RNAcentral is "partial 16S ribosomal RNA". It matches the Rfam family "Bacterial small subunit ribosomal RNA", at positions 29 to 523 of the family's 1533-position model. The record is from RNAcentral.